CAUCAUUAGAUGACUGAAAGCAAGUACUGGUCUCUUAAACCACCCCAUGGUAAUUUAGCAACUACCUCUAAUGA
This 74-nucleotide transfer RNA is filed under the name Junonia westermanni. Its description in RNAcentral is "tRNA-Lys". Lineage: Eukaryota; Metazoa; Arthropoda; Insecta; Lepidoptera; Nymphalidae. The record is from RNAcentral.